CACAUGCUAGGCAAGCAUUCUGCCACUGAGCUACAGCCCCAGCCCAUAAUUUUUUUUUUUUUAAUCCAGAAUCAGGAUAUACACAUUAGUGGUGCAGCUCAGAAGGUAGAGUUGUCGUUGCCUAGCAUUGAAGAGGACCUGGGUUAUUUUCCCUGCACUGAAAGAAAAAAAAAAAAACCCAUACACAUAAAAGUAAAUUUUUUAAUGCUUCAGUGUUAAUAAAAACUUUUUCAUCAAGCACUUUACAGCUAUUACCUGAAUAAAUCCUUCAAAAUACCCAAUAAUGUAAAAGCAUGACUUACCUUUCACAGAAAUUAAAACUGAGGUACAAUGAGCUAAGAAAUUAACCUAAAGCCUUAUCUAUGAACCUUAUCUAAUUAUAUUCAGACUUAAACAACCAUUAUUCAAACUCCUGUUCAUCUCCUGUUUACUACACUUUCUGCCUCCCUAAAAUGUUGGGAUUUUUCUAAUAGACUAGAAAUUAACUUCUGCUUCAAAAUUUUUUUUCCAAAAAAAUUGAUAUUUGAAAUAAUUUUUCUUUCUUGGGUACUUGUUGCCAAUUAGCUCUGCCUGGAAGCAGUUCAGUUUGUGAUAAAAAGCCUAAAGACAACAUAAAUAACAAUAAUAAAGCUGAUGUUUGUUUGCAUUUGUAUAGCACAAAUCAGGUAGGGGAUUUUGAGCUAUUAGCACUUGCUUAAACAAUCAGCCACAGUCUGAAUACAAAAAGAGCAACCACACCUUCCAGAAUGUUGGUUUAUCUGGAACUCUUUCCAAAACUUUCCUUAUCCUGAAUAAAAGCACAUCAAAUCAAGCUCAACGGCCAUAUUGAGCUCUCUCUGCACCAAUGAAAGUGAUUAGUGUUGGAUUUUUAUCCAAAAGCCUUCCCCCUCACUCAGUCAAGUUGCAGAGCUUGGAUUUAGAACAAACAUAUUUUAAUGGUGAGUCUUAUUCCAACUAUAUUUUAUCCAGCUCUAUUGCCUAUUGCAGUACCUACUGGGGACUGGUCAAAGCCAUAAAUUUUACUUUCAUGAGGUAAUAAACAAAAUUAAAAGCAAAACAAGCAAAACCCUUGUGUCCCUCUCUAUAUUUUCAAGUUGGCCUCAAAGUGAAUUGGAGAGUGUCCCCCUCUACUGCCCAUCAAGCAUAAAAUAACAGAGAUAUUUUAAAAGCACCUUUAGAAAAUCUUACUGGGGGAAUCCAGUAGGAUUAGGCAUCCAAGUUCCCAGUUUUCAC
Molecule: long non-coding RNA, 1233 nt
Filed under: Marmota monax (woodchuck)
Lineage: Eukaryota; Metazoa; Chordata; Mammalia; Rodentia; Sciuridae
Source: RNAcentral